Molecule: long non-coding RNA, 276 nt
Organism: Hyla sarda
Lineage: Eukaryota; Metazoa; Chordata; Amphibia; Anura; Hylidae
Exons: 3
Source: RefSeq, a predicted model, not a curated record
CUUUUCCUCUGCACUGGUUUUCAUAAAGCUCCCCCUAUACAACCACGUGGAUUCAAUAUUGGAAAUAUUCCUUUAAUUUAGCCAUUUUGUCUAAUAUCAAUUCUGAUAUCGACUUGACAGAAUUAGACAGACUGCACUGCAGUGUACGAGCAGUAGUCAUCGGCUUUCCUGUCAUAUGAUGCCUUCAUGUGGUGUGCUCUGUUCCGGACUUGUGCAGUGCACAUUUUCUGCAUAUACUCUAACCUUAAACCACCAUCGACAGCUAGACAUCCGAUC